UCUUCGGUCAAGGGUAUAGGACUAGCUGCACUUCCUUGCUAGAACCUCCAAACAAGCUCAAGAACAGCUGAAACAGGAAAUAAGGGAAUACCAGU
RNAcentral lists this small RNA (95 nucleotides) under Vulpes vulpes (red fox). Its description in RNAcentral is "7SK RNA (ENSVVUG00000015745.1)". Lineage: Eukaryota; Metazoa; Chordata; Mammalia; Carnivora; Canidae. The record is from RNAcentral.